This 635-nucleotide unclassified non-coding RNA is filed under the name Dalbergia horrida. Its description in RNAcentral is "partial contains 18S rRNA, ITS1, 5.8S rRNA and ITS2". The stretch from base 247 to 405 matches the Rfam family "5.8S ribosomal RNA". The record is from RNAcentral. Lineage: Eukaryota; Viridiplantae; Streptophyta; Magnoliopsida; Fabales; Fabaceae.
AAGGAUCAUUGUCGAUGCCUCAAUCCAGACCGACCCGCGGACACGUUUCACAACCCGGGACGGCCGAAACUGCCUGGCAGCUCGGCCUCCCUGAGUGUCGGGACGGAGCCACGCUCCUUGUCCCGGCACAACAACAACAAACCCCGGCGCGGAAUGCGCCAAGGAAGCAACAAUCCGUACAGCGCGCCCCGGUCGGCCCGGCAACGGUGCCCGCACGGGGGACGUCGCAACACUCGAGUCCAAAACGACUCUCGGCAACGGAUAUCUCGGCUCUUGCAUCGAUGAAGAACGCAGCGAAAUGCGAUACUUGGUGUGAAUUGCAGAAUCCCGUGAACCAUCGAGUCUUUGAACGCAAGUUGCGCCCGAAGCCCGGUAACGGCCAAGGGCACGCCUGCCUGGGUGUCACCAAUCGCCGCCCCAACCCCUGUGCCUCUGGCCACGGAGCGGGGCGAACGCUGGCUUCCCGUGAGCACCGCCUCGCGGUUGGCUGAAAAUCGGGUUCGUGGCGGACGCAGUGCCAUGACAGAUGGUGGUUGAGCAUGUUCUCGAGGCCAGUCAUGCAUGCGUGCGACCUCCCUACCCAGCAGUGACCCGCGAGCGACGCAGAUCGCCCAUGAUGCGACCUCAGGUCAGGC